ACGGGUGAGUAACACGUGGGUAACCUGCCCUGUACUCUGGGAUAAGCCUUGGAAACGAGGUCUAAUACCGGAUACGACCAUUGAUCGCAUGAUCGGUGGUGGAAAGUUCCGGCGGUAUGGGAUGGACCCGCGGCCUAUCAGCUUGUUGGUGGGGUAAUGGCCUACCAAGGCGACGACGGGUAGCCGGCCUGAGAGGGUGACCGGCCACACUGGGACUGAGACACGGCCCAGACUCCUACGGGAGGCAGCAGUGGGGAAUAUUGCACAAUGGGCGAAAGCCUGAUGCAGCGACGCCGCGUGAGGGAUGACGGCCUUCGGGUUGUAAACCUCUUUCAGCAGGGACGAAGCGCAAGUGACGGUACCUGCAGAAGAAGCACCGGCUAACUACGUGCCAGCAGCCGCGGUAAUACGUAGGGUGCGAGCGUUGUCCGGAAUUAUUGGGCGUAAAGAGCUCGUAGGCGGUUUGUCGCGUCGGCCGUGAAAACUUGGGGCUUAACUCCAAGCUUGCGGUCGAUACGGGCAGACUUGAGUUCGGCAGGGGAGACUGGAAUUCCUGGUGUAGCGGUGAAAUGCGCAGA
RNAcentral lists this ribosomal RNA (578 nucleotides) under Pseudonocardiaceae bacterium RDB-162. RNAcentral's name for it is "bacterial SSU rRNA". It matches the Rfam family "Bacterial small subunit ribosomal RNA", at positions 102 to 694 of the family's 1533-position model. The record is from RNAcentral. Lineage: Bacteria; Bacillati; Actinomycetota; Actinomycetes; Pseudonocardiales; Pseudonocardiaceae.